CCUACGGGAGGCAGCAGUGGGGAAUUUUGGACAAUGGGCGAAAGCCUGAUCCAGCCAUUCCGCGUGCAGGACGAAGGCCUUCGGGUUGUAAACUGCUUUUGUACGGAACGAAAAGGUCUCUGUUAAUACCAGGGGCUGAUGACGGUACCGUAAGAAUAAGCACCGGCUAACUACGUGCCAGCAGCCGCGGUAAUACGUAGGGUGCGAGCGUUAAUCGGAAUUACUGGGCGUAAAGCGUGCGCAGGCGGUCUUGUAAGACAGAUGUGAAAUCCCCGGGCUCAACCUGGGAACUGCAUUUGUGACUGCAAGGCUAGAGUGCGGCAGAGGGGGAUGGAAUUCCGCGUGUAGCAGUGAAAUGCGUAGAUAUGCGGAGGAACACCGAUGGCGAAGGCAAUCCCCUGGGCCUGCACUGACGCUCAUGCACGAAAGCGUGGGGAGCAAACAGGAUUAGAUACCCUGGUAGUCCACGCCCUAAACGAUGUCAACUGGUUGUUGGGUCUUCACUGACUCAGUAACGAAGCUAACGCGUGAAGUUGACCGCCUGGGGAGUACGGCCGCAAGGUUGAAACUCAAAUGAAUUGACGG
Molecule: ribosomal RNA, 585 nt
Filed under: uncultured beta proteobacterium
Lineage: Bacteria; Pseudomonadati; Pseudomonadota; Betaproteobacteria
Description: bacterial SSU rRNA
Rfam family: Bacterial small subunit ribosomal RNA
Source: RNAcentral